UACAGAGGUCUCAAGCGUUGUUCGGAUUCAUUGGGCGUAAAGGGUGCGUAGGUGGCAUGGUAAGUCGGAUGUGAAAUCCCGGGGCUCAACCCCGGAACUGCCUUUGAUACUGGGGAUCUCGAGUCCGGGAGAGGUGAGUGGAACUCCGAGUGUAGAGGUGAAAUUCGUAGAUAUUCGGAAGAACACCAGUGGCGAAGGCGGCUCACUGGCCCGGUACUGACGCUGAGGUGCGAAAGCGUGGGGAGCAAACAGG
RNAcentral lists this ribosomal RNA (253 nucleotides) under uncultured bacterium. RNAcentral describes it as "partial 16S ribosomal RNA". It matches the Rfam family "Bacterial small subunit ribosomal RNA", at positions 524 to 776 of the family's 1533-position model. The record is from RNAcentral.